This 66-nucleotide transfer RNA is filed under the name Schistocephalus solidus. RNAcentral's name for it is "tRNA-Asp". The record is from RNAcentral. Lineage: Eukaryota; Metazoa; Platyhelminthes; Cestoda; Diphyllobothriidea; Diphyllobothriidae.
GCGAUUUUAGUUUAGAAUAAGAAUAUUGGUUUGUCUAACCGACGGUGAUUUUGGUAUCAAAUCGCU